CAGGCUUAACACAUGCAAGUCGAGGGGCAGCAUGGUCUUAGCUUGCUAAGGCCGAUGGCGACCGGCGCACGGGUGAGUAACACGUAUCCAACCUGCCGUCUACUCUUGGACAGCCUUCUGAAAGGAAGAUUAAUACAAGAUGGCAUCAUGAGUCCGCAUGUUCACAUGAUUAAAGGUAUUCCGGUAGACGAUGGGGAUGCGUUCCAUUAGAUAGUAGGCGGGGUAACGGCCCACCUAGUCUUCGAUGGAUAGGGGUUCUGAGAGGAAGGUCCCCCACAUUGGAACUGAGACACGGUCCAAACUCCUACGGGAGGCAGCAGUGAGGAAUAUUGGUCAAUGGGCGAGAGCCUGAACCAGCCAAGUAGCGUGAAGGAUGACUGCCCUAUGGGUUGUAAACUUCUUUUAUAAAGGAAUAAAGUCGGGUAUGGAUACCCGUUUGCAUGUACUUUAUGAAUAAGGAUCGGCUAACUCCGUGCCAGCAGCCGCGGUAAUACGGAGGAUCCGAGCGUUAUCCGGAUUUAUUGGGUUUAAAGGGAGCGUAGAUGGAUGUUUAAGUCAGUUGUGAAAGUUUGCGGCUCAACCGUAAAAUUGCAGUUGAUACUGGAUAUCUUGAGUGCAGUUGAGGCAGGCGGAAUUCGUGGUGUAGCGGUGAAAUGCUUAGAUAUCACGAAGAACUCCGAUUGCGAAGGCAGCCUGCUAAGCUGCAACUGACAUUGAGGCUCGAAAGUGUGGGUAUCAAACAGGAUUAGAUACCCUGGUAGUCCACACGGUAAACGAUGAAUACUCGCUGUUUGCGAUAUACUGCAAGCGGCCAAGCGAAAGCGUUAAGUAUUCCACCUGGGGAGUACGCCGGCAACGGUGAAACUCAAAGGAAUUGACGGGGGCCCGCACAAGCGGAGGAACAUGUGGUUUAAUUCGAUGAUACGCGAGGAACCUUACCCGGGCUUAAAUUGCAGAUGAAUUACGGUGAAAGCCGUAAGCCGCAAGGCAUCUGUGAAGGUGCUGCAUGGUUGUCGUCAGCUCGUGCCGUGAGGUGUCGGCUUAAGUGCCAUAACGAGCGCAACCCUUGUUGUCAGUUACUAACAGGUUCCGCUGAGGACUCUGACAAGACUGCCAUCGUAAGAUGUGAGGAAGGUGGGGAUGACGUCAAAUCAGCACGGCCCUUACGUCCGGGGCUACACACGUGUUACAAUGGGGGGUACAGAGGGCCGCUACCACGCGAGUGGAUGCCAAUCCCCAAAACCUCUCUCAGUUCGGACCGGAGUCUGCAACCCGACUCCACGAAGCUGGAUUCGCUAGUAAUCGCGCAUCAGCCACGGCGCGGUGAAUACGUUCCCGGGCCUUGUACACACCGCCCGUCAAGCCAUGGGAGCCGGGGGUACCUGAAGUGCGUAACCGCGAGGAGCGCCCUAGGGUAAAACUGGUGACUGGGGCUAAGU
RNAcentral lists this ribosomal RNA (1439 nucleotides) under uncultured organism. RNAcentral describes it as "16S ribosomal RNA". It matches the Rfam family "Bacterial small subunit ribosomal RNA". The record is from RNAcentral.